This 188-nucleotide unclassified non-coding RNA is filed under the name rhizosphere metagenome. RNAcentral's name for it is "partial ribosomal RNA internal transcribed spacer region". The record is from RNAcentral.
GGUGCUUGCAGAAAUGCUUGCACGGCGGCGGCCUUAAAACGCGCCAAAUGGCACCCUUUGUUUAUGAGUACCGUUCGUUUCCUCGGUGGGCUUGCCUGCCACGAGGACCAACAAAAACCUUUUGUAAUUGCAGUCAGCGUCAGAAAAACAUAAUAAUUACAACUUUCAACAACGGAUCUCUUGGUUCU